UGGGGUGUGGCUCAGCGGUACAGCGCUCACCUAGCAUGUGCGAGGCCCUGGGUUCGAUCCUCAGCAUCACAU
Molecule: transfer RNA, 72 nt
Filed under: Marmota monax (woodchuck)
Lineage: Eukaryota; Metazoa; Chordata; Mammalia; Rodentia; Sciuridae
Rfam family: tRNA
About the family: Transfer RNA (tRNA) molecules are approximately 80 nucleotides in length. Their secondary structure includes four short double-helical elements and three loops (D, anti-codon, and T loops).
Source: Rfam by way of RNAcentral